RNAcentral lists this ribosomal RNA (844 nucleotides) under uncultured Gammaproteobacteria bacterium. RNAcentral's name for it is "bacterial SSU rRNA". It matches the Rfam family "Bacterial small subunit ribosomal RNA", at positions 40 to 873 of the family's 1533-position model. The record is from RNAcentral. Lineage: Bacteria; Pseudomonadati; Pseudomonadota; Gammaproteobacteria.
CGGCAUGCUUAACACAUGCAAGUCGAACGGAAACGAUGGAAGCUUGCUUCCAGGCGUCGAGUGGCGAACGGGUGAGUAAUACUUGGGAAUCUGCCUAAUAGUGGGGAACAACUCGGGGAAACUCGGGCUAAUACCGCAUAAUCUCUUCGGAGGAAAGGGGGCCUCUACAUGUAAGCUCUCGCUAAUAGAUGAGCCCAAGUCAGAUUAGCUUGUUGGUAAGGUAACGGCUUACCAAGGCUACGAUCUGUAGCUGGUCUGAGAGGAUGAUCAGCCACACUGGGACUGAGACACGGCCCAGACUCCUACGGGAGGCAGCAGUGGGGAAUAUUGCACAAUGGGCGAAAGCCUGAUGCAGCAAUGCCGCGUGUGUGAAGAAGGCUCUAGGGUUGUAAAGCACUUUCAAUAAGGAAGAAAAGCAUAAGGUUAAUAACCUUAUGUAUUGACGUAACUUAUACAAGAAGCACCGGCUAAUUCCGUGCCAGCAGCCGCGGUAAUACGGAAGGUGCAAGCGUUAAUCGGAAUUACUGGGCGUAAAGCGCGCGUAGGCGGUUAUCUAAGUCGGAUGUGAAAUCCUCGGGCUCAACCCGGGAACUGCAUCCGAAACUAAAUAACUAGAGUAUGGGAGAGGUAAGUAGAAUUUCCGGUGUAGCGGUGAAAUGCGUAGAUAUCGGAAGGAAUACCAGUGGCGAAGGCGGCUUACUGGACCAAUACUGACGCUGAGGUGCGAAAGCGUGGGGAGCGAACAGGAUUAGAUACCCUGGUAGUCCACGCCGUAAACGAUGAGAACUAGAUGUUGGGAGGGUUAGCCUCUCAGUGUCGCAGCUAACGCAUUAAGUUCUCCGCC